AUACCUCAGUAACGGCGAGUGAAGCGGUAACAGCUCAAAUUUGAAAUCUGGCCGCAAGGUCCGAGUUGUAAUUUGUAGAGGAAACUUCGGGCGCGGUCCGGUCUAAGUUCAUUGGAACAUGACGUCAUAGAGGGUGAGAAUCCCGUAUGUGACUGGGUGCCGCUGUCCAUGUGAAGCUCCUUCGACGAGUCGAGUUGUUUGGGAAUGCAGCUCUAAAUGGGUGGUAUAUUUCAUCUAAAGCUAAAUAUUGGCCAGAGACCGAUAGCGCACAAGUAGAGUGAUCGAAAGAUGAAAAGCACUUUGGAAAGAGAGUUAAACAGUACGUGAAAUUGUUGAAAGGGAAGCGCUUGCAACCAGACUUGCGCCCUAGUAAUCAUCCGGUGUUCUCACCGGUGCACUUGCUAGGGCUCAGGCCAGCAUCGGUUUUGGCGGUUGGAUAAAGGCAUUGGGAAUGUAGCUUCCUUCGGGGAGUGUUAUAGCCCUUUGUGCAAUGCAGCCCGCUGGGACCGAGGACCGCGCUUCGGCUAGGAUGCUGGCGUAAUGGUUGUAAGCGACCCGUC
Molecule: ribosomal RNA, 560 nt
Filed under: Ascomycota sp. PDD-23b-2
Lineage: Eukaryota; Fungi; Ascomycota
Also listed under: 1 other name
Description: eukaryotic LSU rRNA
Rfam family: Eukaryotic large subunit ribosomal RNA
Source: RNAcentral